Molecule: ribosomal RNA, 757 nt
Filed under: uncultured Bacilli bacterium
Lineage: Bacteria; Bacillati; Bacillota; Bacilli
Description: bacterial SSU rRNA
Rfam family: Bacterial small subunit ribosomal RNA
Source: RNAcentral
CGAACGCUGGCGGCGUGCCUAAUACAUGCAAGUCGAGCGAGCGGAACCAGCAGAUCUGCUUCGGCAGUGACGCUGGGAAAGCGAGCGGCGGAUGGGUGAGUAACACGUGGGGAACCUGCCCCAGAGUCUGGGAUACCACUUGGAAACAGGUGCUAAUACCGGAUAAGAAAGCAGAUCGCAUGAUCAGCUUUUAAAAGGCGGCGUAAGCUGUCGCUCAGGGAUGGCCCCGCGGUGCAUUAGCUAGUUGGCAAGGUAACGGCCUACCAAGGCAAUGAUGCAUAGCCGAGUUGAGAGACUGAUCGGCCACAUUGGGACUGAGACACGGCCCAAACUCCUACGGGAGGCAGCAGUAGGGAAUCUUCCACAAUGGACGCAAGUCUGAUGGAGCAACGCCGCGUGAGUGAAGAAGGUUUUCGGAUCGUAAAGCUCUGUUGUUGGUGAAGAAGGAUAGAGGUAGUAACUGGCCUUUAUUUGACGGUAAUCAACCAGAAAGUCACGGCUAACUACGUGCCAGCAGCCGCGGUAAUACGUAGGUGGCAAGCGUUGUCCGGAUUUAUUGGGCGUAAAGCGAGCGCAGGCGGAAAAAUAAGUCUAAUGUGAAAGCCCUCGGCUUAACCGAGGAAUUGCAUCGGAAACUGUUUUUCUUGAGUGCAGAAGAGGAGAGUGGAACUCCAUGUGUAGCGGUGGAAUGCGUAGAUAUAUGGAAGAACACCAGUGGCGAAGGCGGCUCUCUGGUCUGCAACUGACGCUGAGGCUC